Molecule: ribosomal RNA, 484 nt
Filed under: uncultured bacterium
Lineage: Bacteria
Description: partial 16S ribosomal RNA
Rfam family: Bacterial small subunit ribosomal RNA
Source: RNAcentral
AUUGAACGCUGGCGGCAUGCUUUACACAUGCAAGUCGAACGGCAGCGCGGGCUUCGGCCUGGCGGCGAGUGGCGAACGGGUGAGUAAUGCAUCGGAACGUGCCCAGUAGUGGGGGAUAGCCCGGCGAAAGCCGGAUUAAUACCGCAUACGACCUGAGGGUGAAAGCGGGGGACCGAAAGGCCUCGCGCUAUUGGAGCGGCCGAUGUCGGAUUAGCUAGUUGGUGGGGUAAAGGCUUACCAAGGCGACGAUCCGUAGCUGGUCUGAGAGGACGACCCGCCACACUGGGACUGAGACACGGCCCAGACUCCUACGGGAGGCAGCAGUGGGGAAUUUUGGACAAUGGGGGCAACCCUGAUCCAGCCAUGCCGCGUGCGGGAAGAAGGCCUUCGGGUUGUAAACCGCUUUUGUUCGGGAAGAAAUCCUCUGGGCUAAUACCCCGGGGGGAUGACGGUACCGGAAGAAUAAGCACCGGCUAACUACGUG